UUGUCUGCACGGGCCCUUCCCCCUCCUCAGCACCUACCCCAACAAAGGAAAUCAUCCUGAUAUGAAAGGGAAAAUUAAAUUACCCCAAUAAAGACUUAGCGCUGCUUUAAUGACAUCACCAGACUCAGGCGCUAAUUAGCUGAGUACAAAGGAAGCUAAAUGUGAAAACGUGAAUUUUUGUUCCCUUUUCUCCUGUCUUAGAGUCUCCGGAGCGGGAGUCUUGGCACACAUGGCAGGAGGAGCUGCUCCCGGCCGGCCAGGUGGGCUGCGGGUGCUGCGCCAGGCUCCGGCGGCAGCUGGGUGCUGUCGUUGCAAAGCGGCACUAGCAGCCCUGGGGGUGAAAAGCUCCUGAAGGUUUGGUGAGAUGAAUAUAGGAACUGCAGUCCAUUUAGAUCCUGCCAGGGACUUCUGCAGGUCCCCGGGGUGCCAACGCUUGGAUAACUCCCUGCUGAGUGCCACCCCGAGCCACCAUGCUCUGCCACCCUGCUAUACCCAGCCUUGCACGUGCAGCCACGCAUGGCCCUGCUCUCACCACAUUCGUGCAUCCACACUCGCCUCACACUGCACACCGCGCUGCACAGGCUCACACCUCCCGCUGCAAGCCUGCCCUGGGCACGCACCCAGAGCACUGCAUGCUCACACCUCGCACGGCAUGCUGCACUGCCCAAACUCGCUGCUUCCAAUGAGCGCACUGCUUGCACACCCCUUACGUUGCAUACCACGCGGCACAACUCAGACCCCGCACGGUGAGCGUGCGCUGCGUGUGCAUACCUCACGUUGCCUACUGCAGCGCGCAGCCGCACACGGGACACCCUGCGCGCAUACCUUGCGCGGUGCGCCGCACUGCAAGCAUGCACGCACCUCACAUCGCGCACAUGAACUGCGCGCACACCUCCCACUGCACGUGCAGCAUGCCCGUGCACACCUCACACUCUGCACCUGCACAUGCACGCUUUGCUCUCAGUGCGCGUGCGCUGCACACGUGCCCCGCACAAGCCCUCUGCACAGAUGCCCCCCCCUCGUCCUGUGUGCAUGCACUGCGCGAGCAGACAGUUCACACCGCAAGCCCCCGUGCACACACACCUCACUCUGCAUACAGCCGCACAGGGGCAGCUGUGCCAGCUGCACCCCCCCCCCCGACUCCCAGGCCACUUGCUGGNNNNNNNNNNNNNNNNNNNNNNNNNNNN
RNAcentral lists this long non-coding RNA (1187 nucleotides) under Struthio camelus australis. RNAcentral's name for it is "lncRNA (ENSSCUG00000004340.1)". Lineage: Eukaryota; Metazoa; Chordata; Aves; Struthioniformes; Struthionidae. The record is from RNAcentral.